RNAcentral lists this non-coding RNA (37 nucleotides) under Trypanosoma brucei brucei. Lineage: Eukaryota; Euglenozoa; Kinetoplastea; Trypanosomatida; Trypanosomatidae. The record is from RNAcentral.
AAAAUAUAUAUUAAUUGAGUUUUAUAGUGAGGUAUAU